Molecule: ribosomal RNA, 111 nt
Filed under: Caerostris extrusa
Lineage: Eukaryota; Metazoa; Arthropoda; Arachnida; Araneae; Araneidae
Source: RNAcentral
AACGGCCAUAUCAUGCUGAAUAUACCGGUUCUCGUUAGAUCACCGAAGUCAAGCAUCAUUGGGCGCGGUCAGUACUUUAGGGUGACCACCUGGGAACACCGCGCCGUUGGC